This 43-nucleotide transfer RNA is filed under the name Bromus tectorum (cheatgrass). RNAcentral describes it as "partial tRNA-Thr". The record is from RNAcentral. RNAcentral also lists the same sequence under 1 other name. Lineage: Eukaryota; Viridiplantae; Streptophyta; Magnoliopsida; Poales; Poaceae.
AUUUGUAAUGCGAGGGUCAUCGGUUCAAAUCCGAUAGUCGGCU